UUACCCACUGAGUAUCUUUCUGCUCUGAAAAGUCAGCAUGUAAUGCCCAGCCAUUUAUAGGCAGUCUUUCAGAUUCUGGGAGGACGAACAGAAAUGCCAGGAUUGGCCAGCCAGGAAGAUGCUAAAACCAUCCGAGAAUUUUUAUAGCAAUUCAAAGAGAAAAUAUGUAUCUAAAAAGGUGGCUGUCCCACAUUCCCAGCACCAUUGACUGAAAACACUGAGAUUUCUCUGAUGGAUGGUCUGCAACUUCAUCAAGUAUCAACCAACUGGACAUGUAUAACCUGCUGUUGGGAUUUGGCAAGGCUGCUGAAUUCUGCAUGUUUCCUGCCUUGUUUUUUUUUUAAGUCCUAAUAAUUCUUGUUGGAGCCUUUGGGGUUUCCUGUAUAUAGAUCAUCAUACUAUUUGCAACCUGGAUAAUCUGACGUCUCUUUCUAGCUUGGAUACCUUUUGAUUUUCUUCCCUUUCUGACUGCUGCAGCUAGGACUUUGGUUACAAAUAUUGAGUGAAGUGAUGAAAAGGAUAUGCAUGUCACAUUCCAGAUCUGAGAGAGAAAACUUUCAGCUUAUCUCCAUUGCAUGCAAUGCCACUUGUUAGCUUCUUAUAAAUGCUCUUAAUGUGUUGAGGUACCUGCCUUCUGUGCCUCCCUUACCCAGUGCUGGUGUCAUGACUGGGUGAUAUAUUCCAAGAGGUGCCUUUCUCCAUCACAGGGCUGAUACAGUUUUGUCUUUCAUCCUGAUGAUAUGGUGUAUCACAUUUAUUGAUUUACAUAUGUUAAACCAUAUUUGCAUCUCUCUCAUGAAUCUCACUAUCCUUAAUUAAGACUAUUUUUAGUCAACCUU
This is a long non-coding RNA of Peromyscus eremicus (cactus mouse), 839 nucleotides long. RefSeq lists it as uncharacterized. The record is from RefSeq and is a predicted model, not a curated record. The transcript has 3 exons. Lineage: Eukaryota; Metazoa; Chordata; Mammalia; Rodentia; Cricetidae.